AACUUUUCCAGAUGAAGUCAGUGCACGGUCCUGGGCCACCUUCUGACCUCCAUCUCCAGCAGGACAGCAGUGCUGUGACCCGGGCUGGGGGGUUCUCAAAUGCUCUGAGGAACAGCAGCUCCCUGCUCAGUCCAUACCUUGGGAAUACAGUCACUUGGAAGUGCUGAGAAAUCCCAUGGGUGGGAACAGGAGAUGCACCAUCCUCAGGAAGGAAAAAAGAGCCCAAAGGGAUGAGAGUAACGAUCCAGCAGGGCCUGCCAGUCAACACCAUUCCUGGACUGAUCCAGGAACUCUGGCAGGAACAGCACCAGCACCUCUGUGAGUCCCCAGCCUGCAGCACAGCCAGCAUAGCAGGGAACAGGCACUUCCUCCAGGGCACUUCCAAAGGGGAUGAGGGAAGAGCUGAGCAUCCUUCCGUGGCCCAAACUUCCUGAACAGAUUCAGUUUUUCCAGGGCUCUCCAGGAGGGGCCUCCCGAGCCGUUUGCUCCCCACCAGGGCAGAGGGAAGGUGGCACCGUGUCCCCCUGGAGCAGGGG
This 536-nucleotide long non-coding RNA is filed under the name Manacus vitellinus (golden-collared manakin). Its description in RNAcentral is "lncRNA (ENSMVIG00005019162.1)". The record is from RNAcentral. Lineage: Eukaryota; Metazoa; Chordata; Aves; Passeriformes; Pipridae.